GUGAUGGACGAGGAGAGGCAAAUGGGGAUCAUCAUAAUUUUAAGGAUGGUGGUGGUGCUAUGAUGGAUAGUAAGGUGAAUCAUGUGUAUGAGAAUGGAAAUAUUGUGGUGAAUAGGGAGUUUUCAGUUUCGAUGUCCCACAAGAAUGGUGGGUAUUAUUUGGGUGAUAACAAGCAAAAGGUCAAGCAAAUUUGGAGGAAGCACGUUUGGGUCAUUUUGAUAUUGGAUUUGGUUGUUUGUGCUGCUUUGUUUGGGAUUUGGUUGUGGGUUUGUAGGGGAUUUAAAUGCAUUGAUGGUUGAAUUGGGAGAUGAUUUUACAUGCUAAUAAUAAUGUGGGUGUUGUACUUUGAGGAUUCUGCAUCAGAGAUCAAGAACGAAUUUGGGAGAGAAUAGUGUAAAUGGGGUUGCAAGAAAAAUUGUUGUUCAUUCGUUCUGGAGUUCUGUUUGGCUUCCAUUGGUGAUAUUCUUAGCUUCUUUGAUGAACUCUUUGUAUAAUUAAUUUCUGGACAGGUUGUAUAGCCAUGUCAACAUGCAUAUUUUCUUCUAUUGCCAUGAACUGUGAAUACCUAUCAGCAACAUAUAUAAAUUGUACAGGCUUUUGUCUUUUUCCCAUUGUUUGUAGAGGCUGUAUACGAUGUGUUUUUGCCUUAAGCUUCCACAAGCAGAAACUACGCAAUUCAUUGACACGUCAUAAA
This 694-nucleotide unclassified non-coding RNA is filed under the name Hevea brasiliensis (rubber tree). Lineage: Eukaryota; Viridiplantae; Streptophyta; Magnoliopsida; Malpighiales; Euphorbiaceae. The record is from RNAcentral.